GAGAACUGAAAGGCUUUUUGAAGUCUUCGGAUGGAUAGAAGAACCCCUGAUGCCGUCGAGCCAAGAAAAGUUUCUAAGUUUAGCUAAUGUUGCCCGUACCGUAAACCGACACAGGUGGGUGGGAUGAGUAUUCUAAGGCGCGUGGAAGAACUCUCUUUAAGGAACUCUGCAAAAUAGCACCGUAUCUUCGGUAUAAGGUGUGGUUAGCUUCGUACUAGGAUUUACUCCGAAAGCGAAGAAACUUACAACAAAGAGUCCCUCCCGACUGUUUACCAAAAACACAGCACUCUGCUAACUCGUAAGAGGAUGUAUAGGGUGUGACGCCUGCCCGGUGCUCGAAGGUUAAUUGAUGGGGUUAGCAUUAGCGAAGCUCUUGAUCGAAGCCCGAGUAAACGGCGGCCGUAACUAUAACGGUCCUAAGGUAGCGAAAUUCCUUGUCGGUUAAAUACCGACCUGCAUGAAUGGCGUAACGAGAUGGGAGCUGUCUCAAAGAGGGAUCCAGUGAAAUUGUAGUGGAGGUGAAAAUUCCUCCUACCCGCGGCAAGACGGAAAGACCCCGUGGACCUUUACUACAGCUUGACACUGCUAUUUGGAUAAGAAUGUGCAGGAUAGGUGGGAGGCUUUGAGUAUAUGACGCCAGUUGUAUAGGAGCCAUUGUUGAGAUACCACUCUUUCUUAUUUGGGUAGCUAACCAGCUUGAGUUAUCCUCAAGUGGGACAAUGUCUGGUGGGUAGUUUGACUGGGGCGGUCGCCUCCCAAAUAAUAACGGAGGCUUACAAAGGUUGGCUCAGAACGGUUGGAAAUCGUUCAUAGAGUAUAAAGGUAUAAGCCAGCUUAACUGCAAGACAUACAAGUCAAGCAGAGACGAAAGUCGGUCUUAGUGAUCCGGUGGUUCUGUGUGGAAGGGCCAUCGCUCAAAGGAUAAAAGGUACCCCGGGGAUAACAGGCUGAUCUCCCCCAAGAGCUCACAUCGACGGGGAGGUUUGGCACCUCGAUGUCGGCUCAUCGCAUCCUGGGGCUGGAGCAGGUCCCAAGGGUAUGGCUGUUCGCCAUUUAAAGCGGUACGCGAGCUGGGUUCAGAACGUCGUGAGACAGUUCGGUCCCUAUCUGCCGUGGGCGUAAGAAGAUUGAAGAGAUUUGACCCUAGUACGAGAGGACCGGGUUGAACAAACCACUGGUGUAGCUGUUGUUCUGCCAAGAGCAUCGCAGCGUAGCUAAGUUUGGAAAGGAUAAACGCUGAAAGCAUCUAAGCGUGAAGCCAACUCUAAGAUGAAUCUUCUCUAAGCUCUCUAGAAGACUACUAGUUUGAUAGGCUGGGUGUGUAAUGGAUGAAAGUCCUUUAGCUGACCAGUACUAAUAGAGCGUUUGGCUUAUCUUUAAUAAAGCAU
RNAcentral lists this ribosomal RNA (1388 nucleotides) under Campylobacter jejuni. Its description in RNAcentral is "partial 23S ribosomal RNA". It matches the Rfam family "Bacterial large subunit ribosomal RNA", at positions 1549 to 2925 of the family's 2925-position model. Lineage: Bacteria; Pseudomonadati; Campylobacterota; Epsilonproteobacteria; Campylobacterales; Campylobacteraceae. The record is from RNAcentral.